AUGCAUGCAUGCAGUUUACACUUAAUGAGUGGCUCCUAUGUUCCAUGCCACGUGCUAGGUGCAAAACAUACAAACCAAUGUGGUUCUGGUGCUUAAGGAGCUUCCACUGAGUGUCCCUCCUGCUCAGCUCUCUCCAAAAUGACACUGGAGAUUGCUUCUGUGGCCAAAGUUUAAUCGGGAGAAGCGAUGGGGGCUAAUUUAAAACUAAAAGGAAAGAGAAAGCAGAAGCCCAAACCGCUGCUGUCUCAAAGUGGGAGAAAGGGAGGCUGGCUGUGAUGUUCUAAGGGUAGAAGGGGCCCUCAGAAAUUCUCACCUCCCUCCCUCACUUGCAGAUGAAACAACUGUCACUUCCACAGAGAGGAAGCAACUGGCCCAGGGUACAUAGCAAGCUAGCAGCAGACAGAACUGGAAUUGCCAUCCCGGCCAGGGCCGGUGCUUUUAGAAGCACCCUGUGUUUUCUCCUUUUGUCGUCACCUGUGGAGGUGGGCUUCAAUACUCUCUAGCUCCUCACUGCUCCCCCUCCUGCCUUGAGCCUUGCAUUUUCCCUUUAGGGCAAACUGUUACAAGCUCUGAACUGGGAUGGGCCAAUCUUGGUCUUUGGGGCCACUAGGAAAUACCCGAAGGAAGUUGCCCAUUGGGAGGGGGGGUGCCCUUUUAACCUGAGCAGAGAGCAGCUAUUUAGGAAUUGCCACUCAACCUCCUGCCCGUGGCGGUGGUGUGGGAACCGCUGGCUGUUUAAAGUUUCCCUAUGGCCA
This 755-nucleotide long non-coding RNA is filed under the name Homo sapiens (human). RNAcentral's name for it is "HSALNT0096270". Lineage: Eukaryota; Metazoa; Chordata; Mammalia; Primates; Hominidae. The record is from RNAcentral.